UCAGAACGAACGCUGGCGGCAGGCUUAACACAUGCAAGUCGAACGCACCUUUCGGGGUGAGUGGCAGACGGGUGAGUAACGCGUGGGAAUCUACCCUUCUCUACGGGAUAGCUCCGGGAAACUGGAAUUAAUACCGUAUACGUCCUGAGGGAGAAAGAUUAUCGGGGAAGGAUGAGCCCGCGUUGGAUUAGCUAGUUGGUGGGGUAAAGGCCUACCAAGGCGACGAUCCAUAGCUGGUCUAAGAGGAUGAUCAGCCACAUUGGGACUGAGACACGGCCCAAACUCCUACGGGAGGCAGCAGUGGGGAAUAUUGGACAAUGGGCGCAAGCCUGAUCCAGCCAUGCCGCGUGAGUGAUGAAGGCCCUAGGGUUGUAAAGCUCUUUCAGUGGGGACGAUAAUGACGGUACCCACAGAAGAAGCCCCGGCUAACUUCGUGCCAGCAGCCGCGGUAAUACGAAGGGGGCUAGCGUUGUUCGGAGUUACUGGGCGUAAAGCGCACGUAGGCGGAUAUUUAAGUCAGGGGUGAAAUCCCGGGGCUCAACCCCGGAACUGCCUUUGAUACUGGGUAUCUUGAGUUCGGAAGAGGUAAGUGGAAUUGCGAGUGUAGAGGUGAAAUUCGUAGAUAUUCGCAGGAACACCAGUGGCGAAGGCGGCUUACUGGUCCGAUACUGACGCUGAGGUGCGAAAGCGUGGGGAGCAAACAGGAUU
Molecule: ribosomal RNA, 708 nt
Filed under: uncultured Hyphomicrobiales bacterium
Lineage: Bacteria; Pseudomonadati; Pseudomonadota; Alphaproteobacteria; Hyphomicrobiales
Description: bacterial SSU rRNA
Rfam family: Bacterial small subunit ribosomal RNA
Source: RNAcentral